Molecule: transfer RNA, 67 nt
Filed under: Drosophila borealis
Lineage: Eukaryota; Metazoa; Arthropoda; Insecta; Diptera; Drosophilidae
Description: tRNA-Trp
Source: RNAcentral
AAGGCUUUAAGUUAAACAAAACUAAUAGCCUUCAAAGCUGUAAAUAUAGGAGAUCCUUUAAGCCUUA